GAUGAAGAACGUAGCGAAAUGCGAUAAGUAAUGCGAAUUGCAGAAUUCCGUGAGUCAUCGAAUCUUUGAACGCACAUUGCGCCCCCUGGUAUUCCGGGGGGCAUGCCUGUCCGAGCGUCAUUGCAACCUUCAAGCGCGGCUUGUGUGUUGGGUCUCGUCCCCCGUGGACGGGCCCGAAAGGCAGUGGCGGCGUCCCGACAUGGUGCCCGAGCGUAUGGGAAUCCUCUUCCGCUCGAAUCGGCCCAUGCGGCGCUGGUCGUAACCAAAUUUUUUACCGGUUGACCUCGGAUCAGGUAGGGAUACCCGCUGAACUUAAGCAUAUCAAUAAGCGGAGGA
Molecule: unclassified non-coding RNA, 336 nt
Filed under: soil metagenome
Description: partial contains 5.8S ribosomal RNA, internal transcribed spacer 2, and large subunit ribosomal RNA
Rfam family: 5.8S ribosomal RNA (bases 1-120)
Source: RNAcentral